RNAcentral lists this ribosomal RNA (246 nucleotides) under uncultured bacterium. RNAcentral's name for it is "partial 16S ribosomal RNA". It matches the Rfam family "Bacterial small subunit ribosomal RNA", at positions 28 to 272 of the family's 1533-position model. The record is from RNAcentral.
GACGAACGCUGGCGGCGUGCUUAACACAUGCAAGUCGAGCGGUAAGGCCCGUUUCGGGGGUACACGAGCGGCGGAACGGGUGAGUAACACGUGGGUGACCUCGCCCUUAGCUCUGGGAUAAGCCUGGGAAACGUGGGUCUAAUACCGGAUAUGACUCCAUAACGCAUGUUGUGGGGUGGAAAGCCUUGUGCGGCUAGGGAUGGGCCCGCGGCCCAUCAGCUUGUUGGUGGGGUGAUGGCCACCAAG